RNAcentral lists this ribosomal RNA (468 nucleotides) under uncultured bacterium. RNAcentral's name for it is "partial 16S ribosomal RNA". It matches the Rfam family "Bacterial small subunit ribosomal RNA", at positions 28 to 507 of the family's 1533-position model. The record is from RNAcentral.
GACGAACGCUGGCGGCGUGCUUAACACAUGCAAGUCGAACGGAAAGGCCCUGCUUUUGUGGGGUGCUCGAGUGGCGAACGGGUGAGUAACACGUGAGUAACCUGCCCUUGACUUUGGGAUAACUUCAGGAAACUGGGGCUAAUACCGGAUAGGAGCUCCUGCUGCAUGGUGGGGGUUGGAAAGUUUCGGCGGUUGGGGAUGGACUCGCGGCUUAUCAGCUUGUUGGUGGGGUAGUGGCUUACCAAGGCUUUGACGGGUAGCCGGCCUGGGAGGGUGACCGGCCACAUUGGGACUGAGAUACGGCCCAGCCUCCUACGGGAGGCAGCAGUGGGGAAUAUUGCACAAUGGGCGGAAGCCUGAUGCAGCCACGCCGCGUGCGGGAUGACGGCCAUCGGGUUGUAAACUGCUUUCGCCUGUGACGAAGCGUGAGUGACGGUAAUGGGUAAAGAAGCACCGGCUAACUACGUG